Molecule: long non-coding RNA, 1352 nt
Filed under: Monodelphis domestica (gray short-tailed opossum)
Lineage: Eukaryota; Metazoa; Chordata; Mammalia; Didelphimorphia; Didelphidae
Description: lncRNA (ENSMODG00000031301.2)
Source: RNAcentral
AGAUAUCAAAGGAAAAAAAAAUUCCUGGCCUGGAUAUUGGUGGAGACACCUUUUUAAGGAAGAGAAGGGUUCUGUGUGAUGAAGGUGAGGACUGAGUAUAUUCCAGCCAUUAUAUGAUUAAUUCUCUGUGAUUAAUUAAUGUGAUCUCACCAUUGUAGGCACUCUUCCCAAAAGUGAAGAUCAGAUCCAUCCAUUCCUAAUUAUUACGUGAGACUCUUGUCUAUAUUAGCCCAUAAAUUGGAUCAGGUGUCUAAGCAAAGUGCUAAGAGAUUCCACCUACCUCAUUGAUGGAUACCAUUGUUAGAUGGAUACCAAUGGAAUAAUCUAACAAUUAUUCAAUGACCUUGCUAUGUGAAUGACAUCUUUCCCCCCAUUCAUAUAUCUCUCUGAUGACAACAAAGGGAAACUGCAUUAUUAGGUCAUGGGGACUACAUGACUGAGCAAGAUAACCUCACUAUAAGAAUAUUGAUUAAUAGGGGCAUCAUGGUGGUUCAAUGGAUAAAGAAUGAGGUCUGGAGUCAGAAGGAUCUGGGUUUAAAUAUGGGGUCAGAUACUUCCUAGCUCUCUGACUCUAGUCCCAAGACAUCAGAGAGGAGCAGAACUAUGAACUAUGUGAAAUCCCAGGAGGAAGGCUUCUACUAGAAUAACUUUGGAAGUAUGGAUAAAGCACUCUACGGGAGAGUUAGAAAGUUCUGGGUUUGAGUCCCACUUAAAACAUUUCUUAGUUAAGUAACUCUGGGUAAGUCAAUUGGCUCUUUGAACCUCAUUUUCCUCCACUUAGGGUUGUCCUAAGGAUCAAAAAAGAUGAUACACAGGAGGCAAAAUAUAAUGAAGUGUAUUCAACCAAUAUGAAUGUCAACUAUAUUAACUACAGGACAGGAAUUCCGGACAAUCCUAAGACUUCCAGGAACACAGAGCAGUUUAUAAAACCAGACGGCAAGUUUCUGGACCUGCUCACACAUCCGGGGUUCUUGGACAGGACAUGGUAGGCAGACAGCUGCACAUAUCACAGAAUCCUUGUAUGGCCACCCAGAAGCUCUUCUUCAAGGGAGGGAGAACAACACUUCACAAUACAAGGCUUCUGAUGGACAACAGGAGGUCAUCUCUGCAAGAGCCUGGAAUCUAUACAGCAUCUACUUCAGUAGUCAAUGGAUCAAUCCAAGGUUGUGUCUUGGAAAACGUGAGGAAACUGAAGCAAACAGCUUGGAUUUGAACUCAAGGCUCUCCAGGUCCACUACUCUAUGCAAUGAUGAUUGCAUGGUCUUGCAAUUGUGUGGGUUAUUCUGAGGAAAAAUGCUCUGUAAACUUUUUUCAUUAUUUAAAUAUAUUAUUAAUUAUGCUUCUUUUUAGUU